This 550-nucleotide ribosomal RNA is filed under the name Salmonella enterica. Its description in RNAcentral is "partial 23S ribosomal RNA". It matches the Rfam family "Bacterial large subunit ribosomal RNA", at positions 1 to 581 of the family's 2925-position model. The record is from RNAcentral. Lineage: Bacteria; Pseudomonadati; Pseudomonadota; Gammaproteobacteria; Enterobacterales; Enterobacteriaceae. RNAcentral also lists the same sequence under 3 other names.
GGGUUGUGAGGUUAAGCGACUAAGCGUACACGGUGGAUGCCCUGGCAGUCAGAGGCGAUGAAGGACGUGCUAAUCUGCGAUAAGCGCCGGUAAGGUGAUAUGAACCGUUAUAACCGGCGAUUUCCGAAUGGGGAAACCCAGUGUGAUUCGUCACACUAUCAUUAACUGAAUCCAUAGGUUAAUGAGGCGAACCGGGGGAACUGAAACAUCUAAGUACCCCGAGGAAAAGAAAUCAACCGAGAUUCCCCCAGUAGCGGCGAGCGAACGGGGAGGAGCCCAGAGCCUGAAUCAGCAUGUGUGUUAGUGGAAGCGUCUGGAAAGGCGCGCGAUACAGGGUGACAGCCCCGUACACAAAAGCGCAUGUGCUGUGAGCUCGAUGAGUAGGGCGGGACACGUGGUAUCCUGUCUGAAUAUGGGGGGACCAUCCUCCAAGGCUAAAUACUCCUGACUGACCGAUAGUGAACCAGUACCGUGAGGGAAAGGCGAAAAGAACCCCGGCGAGGGGAGUGAAAAAGAACCUGAAACCGUGUACGUACAAGCAGUGGGAGCA